Molecule: transfer RNA, 91 nt
Filed under: Hermanssonia centrifuga
Lineage: Eukaryota; Fungi; Basidiomycota; Agaricomycetes; Polyporales; Meruliaceae
Description: Phlebia centrifuga tRNA-Asp
Rfam family: tRNA
About the family: Transfer RNA (tRNA) molecules are approximately 80 nucleotides in length.
Source: RNAcentral
UCCCUGGUAGUAUAUCGGUUAGUACACGCGCCUGUCAUUUGCUUAUGAAAUACGGACGCGCGAAAGCGGGGUUCGACUCCCCGCCAGGGAG